RNAcentral lists this unclassified non-coding RNA (247 nucleotides) under Puerto Almendras virus. RNAcentral describes it as "5' trailer (antigenomic)". The record is from RNAcentral. Lineage: Riboviria; Orthornavirae; Negarnaviricota; Monjiviricetes; Mononegavirales; Rhabdoviridae.
CUCAAGAGCUUAAGUACAUAAAAAUUGUAUAACUUUACAUUUAAAACUAAAUUUAUAAUGGAGAAGGUAUAUAACUAAAAUAAAAUUUUUAGUUAUUUUGAAAAUCAGUAGAUUCAACUGUUGUAGCAGAUAGGCAGUAAUCUAAUAGUUCUGGAUAAAAUGACUGAUAUGCAUUCUCUGCAAACUACACACAUCCUAUAAACGGUAUGUUUUUUUAUGUUUAGAGUUUUAGUGUUGGUGUUGUUCG